This 372-nucleotide unclassified non-coding RNA is filed under the name uncultured Gammaproteobacteria bacterium. RNAcentral's name for it is "contains 16S-23S intergenic spacer region". Lineage: Bacteria; Pseudomonadati; Pseudomonadota; Gammaproteobacteria. The record is from RNAcentral.
UCCGGUUUGUCACCGGCAGUCUCAUUAGAGUGCCCUUUCGUAGCAACUAAUGACAAGGGUUGCGCUCGUUGCGGGACUUAACCCAACAUCUCACGACACGAGCUGACGACAGCCAUGCAGCACCUGUGUAUCGGCUCUCUUUCGAGCACCCCCAGAUCUCCCCAGGGUUCCGACCAUGUCAAGGGUAGGUAAGGUUUUUCGCGUUGCAUCGAAUUAAUCCACAUCAUCCACCGCUUGUGCGGGUCCCCGUCAAUUCCUUUGAGUUUUAAUCUUGCGACCGUACUCCCCAGGCGGUCAACUUCACGCGUUAGCUGCGUUACCAAGGAAAUUAAUCCCCGACAACUAGUUGACAUCGUUUAGGGCGUGGACUAC